Molecule: ribosomal RNA, 694 nt
Filed under: uncultured bacterium
Lineage: Bacteria
Description: bacterial SSU rRNA
Rfam family: Bacterial small subunit ribosomal RNA
Source: RNAcentral
AACGCUAGCUACAGGCUUAACACAUGCAAGUCGAGGGGUAACGAAAGGGAAGCUUGCUUUCCUUGUCGACGACCGGCGCACGGGUGAGUAACGCGUAUCCAACCUGCCCACCACUUGGGGAUAACCUUGCGAAAGUAAGACUAAUACCCAAUGACGUCUCUAGAAGACAUCUGAAAGAGAUUAAAGAUUUAUCGGUGAUGGAUGGGGAUGCGUCUGAUUAGCUUGUUGGCGGGGUAACGGCCCACCAAGGCGACGAUCAGUAGGGGUUCUGAGAGGAAGGUCCCCCACAUUGGAACUGAGACACGGUCCAAACUCCUACGGGAGGCAGCAGUGAGGAAUAUUGGUCAAUGGACGAGAGUCUGAACCAGCCAAGUAGCGUGCAGGAUGACGGCCCUAUGGGUUGUAAACUGCUUUUAUAAGGGAAUAAAGUGAGCCUCGUGAGGCUUUUUGCAUGUACCUUAUGAAUAAGGACCGGCUAAUUCCGUGCCAGCAGCCGCGGUAAUACGGAAGGUCCGGGCGUUAUCCGGAUUUAUUGGGUUUAAAGGGAGCGUAGGCCGGAGAUUAAGCGUGUUGUGAAAUGUAGGCGCUCAACGUCUGCACUGCAGCGCGAACUGGUUUCCUUGAGUACGCACAAAGUGGGCGGAAUUCGUGGUGUAGCGGUGAAAUGCUUAGAUAUCACGAAGAACUCCGAUUG